Molecule: ribosomal RNA, 976 nt
Filed under: Alkalicoccus saliphilus
Lineage: Bacteria; Bacillati; Bacillota; Bacilli; Caryophanales; Bacillaceae
Description: bacterial SSU rRNA
Rfam family: Bacterial small subunit ribosomal RNA
Source: RNAcentral
AACCCUUCGGGGGGAAGCCGGUGGAAUGAGCGGCGGACGGGUGAGUAACACGUGGGCAACCUGCCUUUCAGACCGGAAUAACCCCGGGAAACCGGGGCUAAUGCCGGAUAAUCAAGCGGUUCGCAUGAACCGCUUGUAAAAGGGGGGAGUUUUCUCCUCCCACUGGAAGAUGGGCCCGCGGCGCAUUAGCUUGUUGGUGGGGUAACGGCCUACCAAGGCGACGAUGCGUAGCCGACCUGAGAGGGUGAUCGGCCACACUGGAACUGAGACACGGUCCAGACUCCUACGGGAGGCAGCAGUAGGGAAUCAUCCGCAAUGGGCGAAAGCCUGACGGUGCAACGCCGCGUGAACGAAGAAGGUUUUCGGAUCGUAAAGUUCUGUUGUGAGGGAAGAACACGUGCCGGUCGAACAGGCCGGCACCUUGACGGUACCUCACGAGAAAGCCCCGGCUAACUACGUGCCAGCAGCCGCGGUAAUACGUAGGGGGCAAGCGUUGUCCGGAAUUAUUGGGCGUAAAGCGCACGCAGGCGGUCUCGUAAGUCUGAUGUGAAAGCCCACGGCUCAACCGUGGAGGGUCAUUGGAAACUGGGAGACUUGAGUGUAGGAGAGGAAAGUGGAAUUCCACGUGUAGCGGUGAAAUGCGUAGAUAUGUGGAGGAACACCAGUGGCGAAGGCGACUUUCUGGCCUACAACUGACGCUGAGGUGCGAAAGCGUGGGGAGCAAACAGGAUUAGAUACCCUGGUAGUCCACGCCGUAAACGUUGAGUGCUAGGUGUUAGGGGUUUCGAUGCCCUUAGUGCCGAAGUUAACACAUUAAGCACUCCGCCUGGGGAGUACGGCCGCAAGGCUGAAACUCAAAGGAAUUGACGGGGGCCCGCACAAGCAGUGGAGCAUGUGGUUUAAUUCGACGCAACGCGAAGAACCUUACCAGGUCUUGACAUCCUUUGCCCGCUCUGGAGACAGAGUUUUCCCCUUC